GCGUGGGGAGCAAACAGGAUUAGAUACCCUGGUAGUCCACGCCGUAAACGAUGAUCAUUAGUCGGUGGGAGCCACUGACGCAGCUAACGCAUUAAAUGAUCCGCCUGAGUAGUAUGCUCGCAAGAGUGAAACUUAAAGGAAUUGACGGGGACCCGCACAAGCGGUGGAGCAUGUGGUUUAAUUUGAAGAUACGCGGAGAACCUUACCCACUCUUGACAUCCUUUGCAAAGCUAUAGAGAUAUAGUGGAGGUUAACAGAGUGACAGAUGGUGCAUGGUUGUCGUCAGCUCGUGUCGUGAGAUGUUUGGUCAAGUCCUGCAACGAGCGCAACCCCUAUCUUUAGUUACUAACGAGUCAUGUCGAGGACUCUAGAGAUACUGCCUGGGUAACUGGGAGGAAGGUGGGGAUGACGUCAAAUCAUCAUGCCUCUUACGAGUGGGGCAACACACGUGCUACAAUGGUCGGUACAAAGAGACGCAAUACGGUGACGUGGAGCAAAUCUCAAAAAGCCGAUCUCAGUUCGGAUUGAAGUCUGCAAUUCGACUUCAUGAAGUCGGAAUCGCUAGUAAUCGCAGAUCAGCUAUGCUGCGGUGAAUACGUUCUCGGGUCUUGUACACACCGCCCGUCACACCAUGGGAGCUGGUAAUACCCAAAGUCGGUUUGCUAACCUCGGAGGCGACUGCCUAAGGUAGGACUGGUGACUGGGGUGAAGUCGUAACAAGGUAUCCCUACGAGAACGUGGGGAUG
RNAcentral lists this ribosomal RNA (746 nucleotides) under uncultured Mycoplasma sp. Its description in RNAcentral is "bacterial SSU rRNA". It matches the Rfam family "Bacterial small subunit ribosomal RNA", at positions 759 to 1520 of the family's 1533-position model. Lineage: Bacteria; Bacillati; Mycoplasmatota; Mollicutes; Mycoplasmatales; Mycoplasmataceae. The record is from RNAcentral.